Molecule: small RNA, 108 nt
Filed under: Marmota monax (woodchuck)
Lineage: Eukaryota; Metazoa; Chordata; Mammalia; Rodentia; Sciuridae
Source: RNAcentral
GCCAGGUGUGGUAGUGCACACCUGUAAUCCCACAUCUCGGGAGGCUGAGGCAGGAGGAUUGUAAGUUCCAGGCCCAUCUGGGCAGCUUAAUUUAGCAAGAUCCUGUGU